AGCGAACGCUGGCGGCAGGCCUAACACAUGCAAGUCGAGCGCCCCGCAAGGGGAGCGGCAGACGGGAGAGUAACACGUGGGAACGUACCCUUCAGUUCGGAACAACCCAGGGAAACUUGGGCUAAUACCGAAUACGUCCGUAAGGAGAAAGAUUUAUCGCUGAAGGAUCGGCCCGCGUCCGAUUAGCUAGUUGGUGAGGUAACGGCUCACCAAGGCGACGAUCGGUAGCUGGUCUGAGAGGAUGAUCAGCCUCACUGGGACUGAGACACGGCCCAAACUCCUACGGGAGGCAGCAGUGGGGAAUAUUGGACAAUGGGCGCAAGCCUGAUCCAGCCAUGCCGCGUGGAUGAUGAAGGCCCUAGGGUUGUAAAGUCCUUUCGGCGGGGAAGAUAAUGACGGUACCCGCAGAAGAAGCCCCGGCUAACUUCGUGCCAGCAGCCGCAGUAA
Molecule: ribosomal RNA, 447 nt
Filed under: uncultured bacterium
Lineage: Bacteria
Description: partial 16S ribosomal RNA
Rfam family: Bacterial small subunit ribosomal RNA
Source: RNAcentral